GAUGAAGAACGUAGCGAAAUGCGAUAAGUAAUGUGAAUUGCAGAAUUCAGUGAAUCAUCGAGUCUUUGAACGCACAUUGCGCCCCCUGGUAUUCCGGGGGGCAUGCCUGUCCGAGCGUCAUUGCUGCCCUCAAGCACGGCUUGUGUGUUGGGCCUCCGUCCUCCUCCCGGGGGACGGGCCCGAAAGGCAGCGGCGGCACCGCGUCCGGUCCUCGAGCGUAUGGGGCUUCGUCACCCGCUCUUGUAGGCCCGGCCGGCGCUUGCCGACACAUCAAUCUUUUUUCCAGGUUGACCUCGGAUCAGGUAGGGAUACCCGCUGAACUUAAGCAUAUCAAUAAGCCGGAGGA
Molecule: unclassified non-coding RNA, 346 nt
Filed under: soil metagenome
Description: partial contains 5.8S ribosomal RNA, internal transcribed spacer 2, and large subunit ribosomal RNA
Rfam family: 5.8S ribosomal RNA (bases 1-120)
Source: RNAcentral